UUUAGAUGGCGACCGGCGCACGGGUGAGUAACACGUAUCCAACCUGCCGAUGACUCGGGGAUAGCCUUUCGAAAGAAAGAUUAAUACCCGAUGGCAUAGUUCUUCCGCAUGGUAGAACUAUUAAAGAAUUUCGGUCAUCGAUGGGGAUGCGUUCCAUUAGGUUGUUGGCGGGGUAACGGCCCACCAAGCCUUCGAUGGACAGGGGUUCUGAGAGGAAGGUCCCCCACAUUGGAACUGAGACACGGUCCAA
This 250-nucleotide ribosomal RNA is filed under the name uncultured bacterium. RNAcentral's name for it is "partial 16S ribosomal RNA". It matches the Rfam family "Bacterial small subunit ribosomal RNA", at positions 83 to 334 of the family's 1533-position model. The record is from RNAcentral.